This 1394-nucleotide ribosomal RNA is filed under the name metagenome. RNAcentral describes it as "bacterial SSU rRNA". It matches the Rfam family "Archaeal small subunit ribosomal RNA". The record is from RNAcentral.
CGACUAAGGCAUGCAAGUCAGGGGUUUAAAGCCCCGGCGAAAUGCUCAGUAACACGUCGAUAAUCUGACUUAUGGUCCGGGAUAACCUUGGGAAACUGAGGACAAGAUCGGAUAGGAGAAGAUUUCUGGAACGGAACUUCUCUGAAACUAGCGGCCAUAAGAUGAGUCGGCGGCAGAUUAGGUAGUUGGUGAGGUAACGGCUCACCAAGCCCAUGAUCUGUACGGGCCUUGAGAGAGGUAGCCCGGAGAAGGACACUGAGAUACUGGUCCUAGCCCUACGGGGUGCAGCAGCCGCGAAAACUUUACAAUACACGCAAGUGUGAUAAGGGAACUCCAAGUGCUCAUGCAAUGCAUGGGCUUUUGCCAAGUGUAGAUAGCUUGGCGAAUAAGUGGUGGGUAAGACGGGUGCCAGCAGCCGCGGUAACACCUGCGCCACGAGUGGCAGCCGAUAUUAUUGGGCCUAAAGCGUCCGUAGCUGGUUCUGUAAAUCUCUUGUGAAAUUGUUCAGCUCAACUGGACAGCGUGCAGGAGAGACUGCAGAGCUUGGAACCGGUAAGAGUCAGAAGUAUUUUUGGGGUAGCGGUAAAAUGUUAUAAUCCCAAAAAGACUACCUGUGGCGAAGGCGUCUGACUGGGACGGAUUCGACAGUGAGGGACGAAAGCCAGGGGAGCAAAAAGGAUUAGAUACCCUAGUAGUCCUGGCUGUAAACGCUGCGAGCAAGGUGUUGCAUAUUCUUCGGGAAUAUGCAGUAUCGAAACGAAGGUGUUAAGCUCGCCGCCUGGGAAGUAUGGUCGCAAGACUGAAACUUAAAGGAAUUGGCGGGGGAGCACCACAAGGGGUGCGGCGUGCGGUCUAAUCUAAUUCAACGCAGAGAAUCUCACCAGAAGCGACGGCAGGAUGAAGCUCAGAUUGAAUGUCUUAGCUAACGAGCCGAGAGGUAGUGCAUGGCCGCCGUCAGCUCGUGCCGUAAGGUGUCCAGUUAAGUCUGGCAACGAGCGAGACCUGUAUCCACAAUUGCUAACAGGCUCUACGGAGUGACUGAGUACAUUGUGGGGACUGCCUGGGAAACCAGGAGGAAGGCGCAGGCAACGGUAGGUCUGUAUGCUCCGAAUCUUCUGGGCUACACGCGCGCAACAAUGGUAGAGACAAUGAGAUGCGACUUCGAAAGAAGAAGCUAACCUCCAAACUCUAUCUUAGUCUAGAUCGAGGAUUGUAACUCAUCCUCGUGACAAUGGAAUCCCUAGUAAUCGUGUUUCAUCAUAGCACGGUGAAUAUGUCCCUGCUCCUUGCACACACCGCCCGUCAAACCAACCGAGCAGGGUUUAGGUAAGUAUCAGCUUUCUUGGCUUAUACGAAUCUAAACUCAGUGAGGUGGGUUAAGUCGUCACAAGGUA